RNAcentral lists this ribosomal RNA (433 nucleotides) under uncultured bacterium. RNAcentral's name for it is "partial 16S ribosomal RNA". It matches the Rfam family "Bacterial small subunit ribosomal RNA", at positions 29 to 507 of the family's 1533-position model. The record is from RNAcentral.
AACGAACGCUGGCGGGAUGCCUAACACAUGCAAGUCGAACGAGACCUUCGGGUCUAGUGGCGCACGGGUGCGUAACGCGUGGGAACCUGCCCUUAGGUUCGGAAUAACUCCCCGAAAGGGGUGCUAAUACCGGAUAAUGUUUUCGGACCAAAGAUUUAUCGCCUUUGGAUGGGCCCGCGUUGGAUUAGCUAGUUGGUAGGGUAAAAGCCUACCAAGGCGACGAUCCAUAGCUGGUCUGAGAGGAUGAUCAGCCACACUGGGACUGAGACACGGCCCAGACUCCUACGGGAGGCAGCAGUGGGGAAUAUUGGACAAUGGGCGAAAGCCUGAUCCAGCAAUGCCGCGUGAGUGAUGAAGGCCUUAGGGUUGUAAAGCUCUUUUACCCGGGAUGAUAAUGACAGUACCGGGAGAAUAAGCUCCGGCUAACUCCGUG